AGAGCGAACGCUGGCGGCAGGCUUAACACAUGCAAGUCGAACGGAUCCUUCGGGAUUAGUGGCGGACGGGUGAGUAACACGUGGGAACGUGCCCUUAGGUUCGGAACAACACAGGGAAACUUGUGCUAAUACCGGAUGUGCCCCUUACGGGGGAAAGAUUUAUCGCCUUUGGAGCGGCCCGCGUCUGAUUAGCUUGUUGGUGAGGUAAAGGCUCACCAAGGCUACGAUCAGUAGCU
RNAcentral lists this ribosomal RNA (236 nucleotides) under uncultured bacterium. RNAcentral's name for it is "partial small subunit ribosomal RNA". It matches the Rfam family "Bacterial small subunit ribosomal RNA", at positions 26 to 288 of the family's 1533-position model. The record is from RNAcentral.